CGGGGCGUAGCGCAGUUGGUAGCGCACCUGGUUUGGGACCAGGGGGUCGCAGGUUCGAAUCCUGUCGCCCCGA
RNAcentral lists this transfer RNA (73 nucleotides) under Alloprevotella sp. oral taxon 473 str. F0040. RNAcentral describes it as "Prevotella sp. oral taxon 473 str. F0040 tRNA". It matches the Rfam family "tRNA". From Rfam's summary of the family: Transfer RNA (tRNA) molecules are approximately 80 nucleotides in length. Their secondary structure includes four short double-helical elements and three loops (D, anti-codon, and T loops). Further hydrogen bonds mediate the characteristic L-shaped molecular structure. tRNAs have two regions of fundamental functional importance: the anti-codon, which is responsible for specific mRNA codon recognition, and the 3' end, to which the tRNAs corresponding amino acid is attached (by aminoacyl-tRNA synthetases). tRNAs cope with the degeneracy of the genetic code in two manners: having more than one tRNA (with a specific anti-codon) for a particular amino acid; and 'wobble' base-pairing, i.e. permitting non-standard base-pairing at the 3rd anti-codon position. Lineage: Bacteria; Pseudomonadati; Bacteroidota; Bacteroidia; Bacteroidales; Prevotellaceae. The record is from Rfam by way of RNAcentral. RNAcentral also lists the same sequence under 8 other names.